UACGGGGGGAGCAAACGUUGUUCGGAAUCACUGGGCGUAAAGGGCGCGUAGGCGGGAUGGCAAGUCGGUCGUGAAAUCCUUCGGCUCAACCGAAGAACGUCGGCCGAUACUGCCGUUCUUGAGGGAUGCAGAGGAGAUUGGAAUUCCCGGUGUAGCGGUGAAAUGUGUAGAUAUCUGGAGGAACGCCGGUGGCGAAAGCGACGUGCUGGACCUCUUCUGACGCUGAGGCGCGAAAGCUAGGGGAGCAAACGGG
Molecule: ribosomal RNA, 253 nt
Filed under: uncultured prokaryote
Description: partial 16S ribosomal RNA
Rfam family: Bacterial small subunit ribosomal RNA
Source: RNAcentral